Molecule: ribosomal RNA, 426 nt
Filed under: uncultured bacterium
Lineage: Bacteria
Description: bacterial SSU rRNA
Rfam family: Bacterial small subunit ribosomal RNA
Source: RNAcentral
GUGAGGAAUAUUGAGCAAUGGGCGAAAGCCUGACUCAGCAACGCCGCGUGGGCGAUGAAGGCCUUCGGGUCGUAAAGCCCUUUUCUGAGGGACGAGAAAGGACGGUACCUCAGGAAUAAGUCACGGCUAACUACGUGCCAGCAGCCGCGGUAAUACGUAGGUGGCCAGCGUUAUCCGGAAUCACUGGGCGUAAAGCGCGUGUAGGUGGUUCCGUAAGUCGGACGUGAAAUCUCCUGGCUUAACUGGGAGGGGCCGUUCGAUACUGCGGAUCUUGAGGUCGGGAGAGGGACGUGGAAUUCCCGGUGUAGUGGUGGAAUGCGUAGAUAUCGGGAGGAACACCAGUGGCGAAGGCGGCGUCCUGGCCCGCACCUGACACUCAGACGCGAAAGCGUGGGGAGCGAACGGGAUUAGAAACCCCGGUAGUCC